UCCAGCCUGGGUGACAGAGUGAGACUCCACCUCAAAAAAAGAAGAAGAAAAAGAAUUUUGUCUUUCUCUGUAUAUGUCUACUUUAUGGAGCUACGCCAUUCUGGGAAAACACAGUUGGCACCACGUGAAAAGGCGCCCCCAUCACCACAUUCACAAGGAAUGAGAUCAGGAGUUUAAAAGGCACCCUCACUGCCUCCCAUCCACCUCCCCCACCCUCAUCUGGCCCUGUCUUCCUACCACGUGUGUCCUCUCCUCCUUCCUUCAGUUUCACACAAGACCCAAUUCUCUCCGCCCCCGGCAUGGUUUGCCUCCUGGUUGUGUCUCCAGGUUUGCUCCUUGACUCAGCCCAUUCCUGGACAACGACAGCUCCUUCCAUGGCUUGACUUAGCUGCCUGGACCUCGCCUUCCAGGUCUUCUGAAGCAGUUCACCCCACCCCUAGUCCCUCCUUCCAGGAAUGAACUUGUGUAAUAUUCUCUCUGAUCCUUUUGCUGUUAUGUAUAAGGAUUGGGUUUUCAUCCCUAUGAGUGAGAUGCAGGCCCUCUAACAUUAUUACAUGUUAGCACAUUACCCAUCUGACAUGAGAAAAAGAAUUCUCCCUUGCUUCAAAACGCUUUGGCAAAUUCUCAUCUACAUCUAUGUGGAAAACAAACACCAAGAGGAAGUAGAGAUAAUGAGUGUGGACAACCCAUGUGAAAAGUUCAGGCUAAUGAGAUUCCUGCCCGUAGGAGAAAGGAUAAAAUCACAAGGUGGCGCCAUUGUCUCCAGAUGUCAAGGUCUUCUGGAUGGCAGGUACCCUUAAAAGAAUGCAGACAAACUCUUCUAUGGAAAUUUAAAGGAGCAUAAGCCUUCUUCCAGUAUAGGGAGAGAACCAAGGAAGACUUCCUGAAGGAAGUGGCCUUUGAGUGGGCCUUGGAUCAUGUGGAGAUCAGGGGUGAGAGUAUUCCGGGCGAAGAGUCCAGCGUAGGGAAGGCUCAUAGGCAGGAACUGUGCCAUAUUAAUGCUGUCUUAGAGAUAUAUCCAUUGCCGGAAACAGAUACUCAAAUUACUUCGAAUAGAGAAUUGAAAAGGUUUCUAUGAACACCUCCAGAACUGUGGUUCUCAAAGUGCAAUCCCUGGGCCAGCAGCAUCACCUGGGAACUUGUUAGAAAUGCAGAUUCUCAGAUUCCACCCCAGAGCCUUUGAAUCAGAAAGGAACCCCAGGAACUGGUGGUAGCAGCCCUCUUGCAGGCCCUCCAGGUGAUUCUCAUCCAGGGAAGCUUGGGAACCCCUGGGAUGGAAUAUUCUCAGGAACCCCUGCUUUGUGAAGAACUGAUGACAUAGGCUGUUUCUAGGGAGGAAAUGGGGCUGCUGGGUGCACAGGUGAGGGAGGUAGGAGGCCUUGUAAUUGUGUACCAUGUGUGUAUAUUACCUAUUAAGAAAAUGAAAAACUAAUGUGUUUAAUCCCCUGUCUUUCCCCAUCUACUUCUCUCCUACCCUAUAGCUGCUCCUCCACCUCCCUCCUCAGAAGGUGUUCGGUUCCUGGGUAAGCUGGUUUUCUGUUCUCCCUUCCCCACUCUUCUCUUGCCUGGUCUUUAUUACAAGGUGCGCCAAGCCUCAUAAGGACAGUUGAAAAGAACAGAAGAGAGACUGCGCUAAUGGCUGUAGAAUUCUGCCAGGAGAGCUGGAGGUGGGCAGGAAGUCUAUCAAUUCAACCAUGCUAAUAAUUUCAGUUGGUAAUUAAGAGUAAGCCCAUCUCUACCCCCUUUUCAGUUAUCAAAUAUGCAUUGUUUUCCUCUUGUGUUGGCCUUUUGUGUCUGUUUCACUCUCACCUUGACUCGGCCCCCGUGAGCUAACUCCAGCCAUAGAGAAACCAUGGAGAGGUUUGUCCAGUGUCUGGAAGAUGGAUUGACUGCUGAAAUAGGAGCAAAAAGAACCUCCUAGCAGGUCAGCCGUACCCAAAGACAGCCACGUGGAAAUGGACAGUGGUGCAAGGACAAGUGUCCAGCAGAGCAGGCAGCAAACGCCCCAGGUGCCAUAACUCCUUAAAGGCCCAAGUAUCUCUGCUGACCCAGUGAGUGCCCCUCAGCUUGUGGUGUGAGACUGAGCUUAUAGAUCCCACCUCAACUCGAGAAACUCAAUGCAGUGAUGAGCUGAUUUAUAGAGUUUGCCAGUUCCUGUGGUGUAAAUACUCAUAGCAUGGCCAGUUUCUGGCUACCAACAUGAAGUCACUGAACCCAAAGUUGGGAAGAGAUUUACCUAACAGGGGACAUAGUUAAUGGACUUCAUAGAGAAAGCUACUAAACCAUAUGUGCCCCUGGGGUCCAGAAAUCCACUUCUGGUUGGAACUGACCUAUAUGGUGCCAAGUGUGCAUCUUCUAGGGGGACACUAACAUUUGUGUGUCCUCCUCUGGUCUUGCAGCAAGCCUCUUCCCUAAGGGCCUUUGACUAACAUUUGCUACAUUUUGUAUUCAUUGAGAGUCUGGGUGUGGUCGCUUAUGUCUGUAAUCCCAGCACUUUGGGAGGCGGAGGCAGGCAGAUCACUUGAGGUCAGGAGUUCGAGACUAGCCUGACCAACAUGACAAAACCUUUUCUCCACUAAAAAUACAAAAA
Molecule: long non-coding RNA, 2590 nt
Organism: Sapajus apella (tufted capuchin)
Lineage: Eukaryota; Metazoa; Chordata; Mammalia; Primates; Cebidae
Exons: 3
Source: RefSeq, a predicted model, not a curated record